AGAGUUUGAUCAUGGCUCAGGACGAACGCUGGCGGCGUGCCUAAUACAUGCAAGUCGAGCGGACGAAUCGAAAGCUUGCUUUUGACUCGUUAGCGGUGGACGGGUGAGUAACACGUGGGCAACCUGCCCUGUAGACGGGGAUAACACCGAGAAAUCGGUGCUAAUACCGGAUGACACGAAAUGUCGCAUGACGUUUCGUUGAAAGACGGCGCAAGCUGUCGCUACAGGAUGGGCCCGCGGCGCAUUAGCUAGUUGGUGAGGUAACGGCUCACCAAGGCGACGAUGCGUAGCCGACCUGAGAGGGUGAUCGGCCACACUGGGACUGAGACACGGCCCAGACUCCUACGGGAGGCAGCAGUAGGGAAUCUUCCGCAAUAGACGAAAGUCUGACGGAGCAACGCCGCGUGAGCGAAGAAGGCCUUCGGGUCGUAAAGCUCUGUUGUUAGGGAAGAACAAGUAACGCAGUAACUGGCGUUACCGUGACGGUACCUAACGAGAAAGCCACGGCUAACUACGUGCCAGCAGCCGCGGUAAUACGUAGGUGGCAAGCGUUGUCCGGAAUUAUUGGGCGUAAAGCGCGCGCAGGCGGUUCCUUAAGUCUGAUGUGAAAGCCCACGGCUCAACCGUGGAGGGUCAUUGGAAACUGGGGGACUUGAGUGCAGAAGAGGAGAGCGGAAUUCCACGUGUAGCGGUGAAAUGCGUAGAGAUGUGGAGGAACACCAGUGGCGAAGGCGGCUCUCUGGUCUGUAACUGACGCUGAGGCGCGAAAGCGUGGGAGCAAACAGGAUUAGAUACCCUGG
Molecule: ribosomal RNA, 800 nt
Filed under: uncultured bacterium
Lineage: Bacteria
Description: bacterial SSU rRNA
Rfam family: Bacterial small subunit ribosomal RNA
Source: RNAcentral